AACCCAAAUUAAUAAGCCCACGGCGUAAAACGUGUUAAAGAAUAUAGCUCACUAAAGUUAAAACCUAGCCAAGCUGUAAAAAGCUACUGCUAGCAUAAAACAUGCCACGAAAGUGACUUUACUAUCUCCGACUACACGACAGCUAAGACCCAAACUGGGAUUAGAUACCCCACUAUGCUUAGCCCUAAACAUAGAUAAUUAAAUCAACAAAAUUAUUUGCCAGAGAACUACUAGCAAUAGCUUAAAACUCAAAGGACUUGGCGGUGCUUUAUACCCCUCUAGAGGAGCCUGUUCUAUAAUCGAUAAACCCCGAUAAACCUCACCACUUCUUGCUAAAU
This 338-nucleotide ribosomal RNA is filed under the name Potos flavus (kinkajou). RNAcentral's name for it is "partial 12S ribosomal RNA". It matches the Rfam family "Bacterial small subunit ribosomal RNA", at positions 606 to 989 of the family's 1533-position model. The record is from RNAcentral. Lineage: Eukaryota; Metazoa; Chordata; Mammalia; Carnivora; Procyonidae.